RNAcentral lists this ribosomal RNA (873 nucleotides) under uncultured bacterium. RNAcentral's name for it is "bacterial SSU rRNA". It matches the Rfam family "Bacterial small subunit ribosomal RNA", at positions 9 to 915 of the family's 1533-position model. The record is from RNAcentral.
GAGUUUGAUCCUGGCUCAGAAUGAACGCUGGCGGUAUGCUUAACACAUGCAAGUCGAACGAACAAAGCUGGAGCUUGCUUCAGCCGCGUGAGUGGCAAACGGGUGAGUAACACGUGGGAAUCUACCCAUCAGUACGGAAUAACAUUUGGAAACAAAUGCUAAUACCGUAUAUUCUCUACGGAGGAAAGGUUUAUCGCUGAUGGAUGAGCCCGCGUAAGAUUAGGUAGUUGGUAGGGUAAUGGCCUACCAAGCCGACGAUCUUUAGCUGGUCUGAGAGGAUAAUCAGCCACACUGGGACUGAGACGCGGCCCAGACUCCUACGGGAGGCAGCAGUGGGGAAUAUUGGACAAUGGGCGAAAGCCUGAUCCAGCAAUACCGCGUGAAUGAUGAAGGCCUUAGGGUUGUAAAGUUCUUUUAAUAGGGAAGAUAAUGACGGUACCUAUAGAAAAAGCCCCGGCUAACUCCGUGCCAGCAGCCGCGGUAAGACGGAGGGGGCUAGCGUUAUUCGGAAUUACUGGGCGUAAAGGGCGCGUAGGCGGAUUAGUAAGUUGGGAGUGAAAGCCCGGGGCUUAACCUCGGAACUGCUUUCAAAACUGCUAGUCUUGAGUGAAGUAGGGGGUGAUGGAAUUCCUAGUGUAGAGGUGAAAUUCUUAGAUAUUAGGAGGAACACCGGUGGCGAAGGCGGUCACCUGGACUUCAACUGACGCUGAGGCGCGAAAGCGUGGGGAGCAAACAGGAUUAGAUACCCUGGUAGUCCACGCCGUAAACGAUGAGUGCUAGAUAUCGGGAAUUAAAUUUUCGGUUUCGCAGCUAACGCAUUAAGCACUCCGCCUGGGGACUGCGAUCGCAAGAUUAAAACUCAAAGGAAUGACG